GAACCGUCCAAACGUUUAUUCGGAAUCACUGGGCUUAAAGGGUGCGUAGGCGGCUUGGCAAGUUGGGUGUGAAAUCCCUCGGCUCAACCGAGGAACUGCGCUCAAAACUGCCAAGCUAGAGGAAGAUAGAGGUGAGCGGAACUAAUGGUGGAGCGGUGAAAUGCGUUGAUAUCAUUAGGAACACCUGUGGCGAAAGCGGCUCACUGGGUCUUUUCUGACGCUGAGGCACGAAAGCUAGGGUAGCGAACGGGGGAUUAGAUACCCCGGUAGUCCUAGCUGUAAACGAUGAGCACUAGGUUGGAGGCUCCUCCAUAGGCUUCCGACCGAAGCGAAAGUGUUAAGUGCUCCGCCUGGGGAGUAUGGUCGCAAGGCUG
RNAcentral lists this ribosomal RNA (374 nucleotides) under uncultured organism. RNAcentral's name for it is "partial 16S ribosomal RNA". It matches the Rfam family "Bacterial small subunit ribosomal RNA", at positions 527 to 896 of the family's 1533-position model. The record is from RNAcentral.